RNAcentral lists this unclassified non-coding RNA (556 nucleotides) under Hevea brasiliensis (rubber tree). Lineage: Eukaryota; Viridiplantae; Streptophyta; Magnoliopsida; Malpighiales; Euphorbiaceae. The record is from RNAcentral.
GGGAAGGUGGUGAUUGAUGUGACCUCAUCUCCUUGGAAUAUUUAUAUGCAGUUUGGUGUCUCUUUCAGUAAUGAAAUGAGCGAAAUCAUCAUAUCUCUGUCAAUGUAAACGGGAUUCGUCUGCUGCUCGAAUAAGAAUUGUUGAUUCAAAAAUCGUCUUCUUCAGGUUUCGCUGUGACCAAUAUCAGCACCACUGUUCAGAUUUUGUUUCAAAUUCCACCCUUACAAGUAUGGGAAGAACUCCAUGCUGCAACGAAGCUGGGUUAAAGAGAGGUGCAUGGACAGCUGAUGAAGACCAGAAACUCAUCGCUUAUAUUCAAGAACACGGCGGAGGAGGGUGGCGUACCAUGCCUCAGAAAGCUGGUCUCCAGCGAUGUGGGAAGAGCUGCAGAUUGAGAUGGGCUAAUUAUCUUAGACCUGAUAUUAAAAGGGGAGAGUUCAGUACAGAGGAGGAGAAAAUGAUCAUUCAACUUCAUGCUACUCUAGGCAACAGGUGGUCUGCAAUUGCGAGGCAUUUGCCAAAAAGAACGGACAAUGAGAUCAAGAAUUAUUGGAAC